Molecule: ribosomal RNA, 491 nt
Filed under: uncultured bacterium
Lineage: Bacteria
Description: partial 16S ribosomal RNA
Rfam family: Bacterial small subunit ribosomal RNA
Source: RNAcentral
GAUGAACGCUGGCGGCGUGCCUAAUACAUGCAAGUAGAACGCUGAAGGAGGAGCUUGCUCUUCUGGAUGAGUUGCGAACGGGUGAGUAACGCGUAGGUAACCUGCCUGGUAGCGGGGGAUAACUAUUGGAAACGAUAGCUAAUACCGCAUGACAACAGUUAUUGCAUGAUAACUGUUUAAAAGGGGCAACUGCUCCACUACCAGAUGGACCUGCGUUGUAUUAGCUAGUUGGUGAGGUAACGGCUCACCAAGGCGACGAUACAUAGCCGACCUGAGAGGGUGGACGGUCACGCGGGUACGGAGACACGGCCCAGACUCGUACGGGAGGCAGCAGUGGGGAAUAGUGCACAAUGGGGGUAAGACUGAUGCAGCGACGCCGCGUGAGGGAUGGAGGCCUUAGGGUUGUGACCCUCUUUCGCCAGUGAAGCAGGCCUGCCUCGGUUGUGGGUGGGUUGACGGUAGCUGGAUAAGAAGCGCCGGCUAACUACGUG